GGGGCUGUGGUUUAGCCUGGUCUAUGACACUAGCUCGGGGAGCUAGUAACCCGUGUUCAAAUCACGGCAGCCCCA
This 75-nucleotide transfer RNA is filed under the name Candidatus Woesearchaeota archaeon. RNAcentral's name for it is "tRNA-Pro". It matches the Rfam family "tRNA". From Rfam's summary of the family: Transfer RNA (tRNA) molecules are approximately 80 nucleotides in length. Lineage: Archaea; Nanobdellati; Candidatus Woesearchaeota. The record is from RNAcentral.